GCCAAUACUGAGUCAAUUGGUAGUCGACACCAAUGAUUGGCUAAUAAUAGCAAUGCUAAUAGCACGUUUUUCUCCCCAGUAAUUCUAUUUAAAGCAUUUCCAGCUGCUGACUCAGACAAAACCACCACAAUGACUAGUGAGGAUAUUGUUUUCGACAAGCACCACUUCAGACAUGAUCCGAAGUGGAGUGGUCGCCUGGGGCCUGCAGAGGGUGGAGGGCUGCUGCUGUGUGUGGCCUGUGUCAUUGAAAUUAUUGAGUGUAAAGAUACUGCAGUGGUUAAGAAAUCCUUUGCCUUGUCUGGGGUCAGUCGGGUGUUGAAGUCCUCUCCAGGAGCUUUAACAGAAAUACUUCAACAGGACUACAGAGUGUGCCUGCAUUUGAUAGCCUUACUGCUCGGUGAGUUGUAUAAUAAACCUUUUUUUGUUACAGAAGAUUAGUGAUUGAUUAUCAUAUGAUUAUUAUGCUGUUUAUAUUAUUGCCAAAUAGGGGUGUGUAUU
Molecule: long non-coding RNA, 498 nt
Filed under: Gouania willdenowi (blunt-snouted clingfish)
Lineage: Eukaryota; Metazoa; Chordata; Actinopteri; Blenniiformes; Gobiesocidae
Description: lncRNA (ENSGWIG00000004799.1)
Source: RNAcentral